UAAGCGUUGAGGAGCAGAGGCCCACCUAGAAGGAACGUUGGUUUCAGAAGAUCAGUCCUGACCUUGCCCAGUUCUCUGCCAUGGCCCAACCAUUUCUCUUCCUCCUCUUCCUCCUCACCUACUUCACUGAAAUAGGUCUAGAGGCUUUGAACGGGAGAAAGAGGAAAGAGAUUUGCAUGGCUUUGCAGCCUCUCUUUCUGGCAGCUCAACUUAAGCGUGAGGAGCAGAGGUCCACCUAGAAGGAACGUUGGUUUCAGAAGAUCCGUCCUUGCCCCAUUUCUCUGCCAUGGCCCAACCGUUUCUCUUCCUCCUCUUCCUCCUCACCUACUUCACUGGUGCCUUGGCCCAGUUCACCAUGACUCAGCCACCUUCUCUGUCGGUACCACCUCAAGAAACCGUCAAGAUCACCUGUACCAGGGAAGGUGGUGGCAUUUCUGGCAACUAUGUGAGCUGGUAUCAGCAGAAAUCUGGCACAAAACCCCUGCCGCUGAUCUAUCAGCAUACUAACAGACCUUCUGGAAUCCCUGAGCGAUUUUCUGGUUUUAUCGAUUCUUCCUCCAAUUCGGCCAUCUUGUCAAUCUCCAACGUUCAACCAGAAGAUGAGGCUGACUAUUACUGUUUGUCUUAUGAUAGCAAUUAUCAGUGCACAGUGAUUCCACCUUAUGGGGAGCUGUGACAAAAACUAGAAGAUGGCUCAGCCUUCCUUGAAGGCUUCGCUGAACACAGUUUGCAGAUGGGCUUAAAAAAGAAUUGCGCACAGCCAGGGAGAGUAUUUUCAAUAUUUCGAGCAGCCUCUUUUCAUGGGAUCCCUUCUAUGACCUUCCCAGCCAUCUUCUGAGAAGCAAAUUCAAGAAGAGAAGUCGGAUUGGUUUCAAAACGGUGUAAUUCCCUUUAAAAAAAGCAAUCCUCCGUUGAACAACCUUGGAAAAAGGUGGUUAAAAUUGGUGUGACUCAUGUGAAGACCGCUGUCAGCUUUGGAAGCCAUACUAGGCUGAAGGCUUCCAUGCGCUGCCACAAUUCUCCUCUGUGGGAAAAAAGGAGGGGAGGAGGGUGCAAGGAAUGAUGAGACAUAAUAACAUUUUCUGCCGGUCAAGGUCAGGCUGGAUUCGCAUCUGGAGAAGAAGUGGCCGGAGUGACGCUUCGACAUGGGACGGUUGAGGAUUAGAGCAUGUGACUGGCAGACGGUUCACGAGGGUGGAGAUUUUGGGGUUUGUAUUACUGAGGGAGGAACCCGGAAUCUCCAGUUCCGAUUUUCCUCCAACUGUGCC
Ahaetulla prasina is the source of this 1268-nucleotide non-coding RNA. Lineage: Eukaryota; Metazoa; Chordata; Lepidosauria; Squamata; Colubridae. The record is from the annotation of a RefSeq genome assembly.